This 4749-nucleotide long non-coding RNA is filed under the name Canis lupus familiaris (dog). RNAcentral's name for it is "lncRNA (ENSCAFG00000058541.1)". Lineage: Eukaryota; Metazoa; Chordata; Mammalia; Carnivora; Canidae. The record is from RNAcentral.
GUUCUUAUUUAAAAAAAAUUUUUUUUUUCACAUUCCUAUUUCACUCUCCCAACUCUUGCUUUACAUUCUUUUACAUGCUAAAAGCCAUCAACAGUUGGAUCAGGUUAGAGAAUAUAAGGAAAAGGGAGGGAAAGACAUUUUCUGAAUACCUGCGAGUAUGAGACCUGAUGGUAGAAUGUGUUAAUGAUCACUGGCCCCCCACAACAAACCUUUGAGUACUUUGCUCAUGAGCAAUUUACUUGUUAGGAAUGUUACCCAAUAAACCACAUUUUCCACAAAGCAUUUAAAUGCUUUUCUGUGGAAGAUCUAGAAGUUAACCUUAUAAGACUGCUCAUUCUCUUUUUUCAGCCCUUGAUAGAAAAGUAAGACCCAAAAAAAUAUGAGUGUCCAUCUUUCUCAUGUUGUGAAACAGGUACUUUUGAAAUAGAUCUUACUGUUUGUUUUCCCAGCCUUACCAUGCUGGUCCCUGAAAUUAUUUUAUAAUAGCGAGCACUUUUAUUGAAUGCUUGUGACAUACCAAGUAUUGUUCUGACUCCUUUUUGUUGUUUUUUCUUGAUUACAAAGUAGUGAAUUGGUCUCUGACUUUGCUGAUCUCACUCCUUGAUCUUUGUCCUGUUCUAACUUGCCAAAACCACUCCACACCUUUCCCUACCAAAGGGUACUAAGUGAGUGCAUUUCUCAUCAGAUCAAAGUCAGACUUCUUGGUCCGUAGGGUCCUUCACAAAGUAAACUUAACCAUAUUCUCCUAAACGGUGGCUACUCCUCUUCCAUGAAUCAGACUCCUUUCUCAUCUCUGCAUUUACUUAAGCCUGGUGCUUUGACCUCUAAAUCUAAUGUCCUCUCACCUUGCUGAGCUCCCACACCCAUAACCCAAAUUCAUGGUAGUUCUAGGAAUAGUUGCUCCCCUUUCUGAAGAUUAUGGCACUCACUACCUUUUGUAGUUUGGUACUUGAUUAUAUUCAAUUUAGUUCUUCAUUAUACACACUGUUAUUUCCCUUUUGUAUGUCUUGGCUUCUAUAAUAAACCAAGAUACUGCAGGCUGCCAUUUGGUUUCUUUCUGAUUGAUACAGCACCUAGCACAGUGCUAAGCACCUUGUAGGUUUUCUGUGUGGAAUGUGCUCACUGAAGUUAGUCCACACUUUCCUUCUCUAAGAACGAAGAAGAUGCACAGAGGCAAUUAAUAAAAUACUUUUCAUAUUUCUUAAAGGUUUAGAUCUAGAAUAGCAACACCUAUAAGGGAAGGUAAACACACACACACACCCCAGCCUGUGAUGAAAGUAGAAACAUCGAAGGUAUCCAUGUGAUUAAGUCACAUCGCUAAGAUGUGACCACUAAGCUUGGCAUUAACUGGUAGAAGUACAGGGUAAGACAACAAGGGCCACAAAGUUAGCAGGCACACCAGUGGAAGGCCAAAGAACCCCUUGUCAUGGGGUUUCUUAUCUGGUUGAUAGUGAUUAUGUCCCAGUUUUGUUAUCUUCCAUUACAUUUUUAACCAUGUACCUGUAAUUCCCCUUUUAAAAUUUUAUCAUAAUCCCUAUUAUCAUUUUUUAAACCAGUAAGAUAUGCACUUAAUGAGGCAUAUUGGGUUUUUUUGUGUGGCCUUUAUUCCCAGGGCAUAUACCUUGAGGUAAACACGAGUUCAAGGCUCCUCUAUUGUAAUCAUGUAGACCUGUAAAUAUGGGAUGGACUGGGUUAAGGGAGAGCCCAGGGGGAAGCUCAGAAUCUUGGGAGAUAGUUGGUAAACAAUUGUAAUUCUCAAAUAAAAGCAGACCUGAAGAUGAAUGAUAAGUGAUGCAGUAUUGCUAAAGCCUCUCCCAGUCUUUUACUAUAUUUCACCAUUAUCUGUUAUUUGGACUUCUGCAUUUUCAUCAGUAACAUUGUAAAUUACAGACACACAGGCAUCAGGCACACAGUGUCAUCCAGUAGACUAAACUUUGUAAGGAUGGACACAGUUCUCAUUUCUCCUCAUUGCCUUGGACACAUAGCUGGGAUUUAGAAAAUAGUAGCUGGAUGAAAAAUGUUCUUUAGAUAUAGCAAAUACUCCAUUAUAUGAUGAUAUCGAUGGAAAAUAUAUGUAAAUACCUUUGCACUCCAGAGACAUUAUCUGAGGAGCAGAAAACCCUGGAACUUUGAGUAGUUUGUUCGUAUCCCUGUGUCAUCUCAGAAGUUCGUAAAGGCUGAAGUAUUCACUAAAGUUAAUCUAGGUAUUGAUGUUAAGAUGAUUAUAAAGGCUAUAGCCCAGCAUAAGUGAUGUUAUUAUAAUUGAAACAAGAAUGGUUAGUUUACAUGACAUACUUCUUUACUAAGAAUACCAGAUAGUUAGGGUAUAUAGCUAAUAAUGUUUUAUACAAAAUAGAAGCUUUCCUUGAGCGAUUUAAACAUUUUUAUAUAGUAUUGGAGAAUUGUAGGUUCUGGACACUGUUACUAUAGUUCUGAAUAGAACUGUCCUGUGAAGACCAGUUUUUCUCAGUUUGACAUCAUAUUUGGUAUAUGUGUUUUGCACACCUUAAUUAUUUGUCUUACAUUUUCUAUGGGGGAGCUAAUCUAAAAUAUAAACCAUUUGUGUUCUAAUAGUAUAACUUGUUUCCCUUAUUUAAUAAGAAUAAUUGUUGCUUAGAGCCUAAAAUUUAAGAAAAUAUAUUAAUGAGUAACUCAUUGCCCUUUAAUUCUUAUUUAUUAUGAGUAGAACUGGAAGAAAAGCUGAGGGCAAAUCUGCCUGAGGAGUAGUUCAUAAGAAGGACUUUUAGCAAAGUGUUCUUAUCUCCUACUGAGCUUUUGGAAAAUGCAGAGGAGGAAUGAUCCUGGCAUGUGAGAAUAGUACACACCCAGAUUAUAACGUGGCUCAGAAAAUAGCCUUAUUUUUUUUUUUUUUCCUUUCCUCAAGAUUAGAGAGCCCUAUGGCAUCUUGUUGAAUUUCCCCUUCCUACUUAAAUCUCUCAUGUCUUCCUCUGGAGUUAUUAGUCUUUCAAUUCUGCAUCCCCCUUUCUUUAUUUUCCAUCCAUCCUUUCAUUAUAUUGUUGUUAACAAUCACAGACUUACAGAAAAGAUGAAUUUAUAGUAAAAGAAUCUUUAAUGAAGCAUUUAAAAGUAAAUUCCCAAGCUAAUGGCCCAUCAUGUAUGAAUAUUUUAAUGGGUUUAGCUAAACACAUUCUCCUGCAUACAUACUCAUAAUGCAACCAUUAAAACCAAGAAAUUAACACAAGUAGAUUAUUAUACCUAAUUCUCAGAUCCCAUUCAUAUUUUGCCAGUUAUACCAAUAUCCUUUAUGGAAGAAGGAUCUCCCUCAGUAAAAUGCUAGCAAAUUGAAUCCAGCAAAAUAUAAAAGGACUAUGGGCCAAGACCAAGUGAUCUUUAUCACAGGAAUGCAAGUUUAGUUUACAAUCUGAAUUAAUGCAAUACACUAUGCAUAUUAAUCUGCUUGGGCCACUAUAACAGAACCCAGACUUGUGGUUUAAACAACAAGAUUUACUUUGUCACCGUUUUGGAGGCUAGGAAUUCAUGAUCAAGAAGCCAGCAAAUUUGGUUUCUGGUAAGAGCUCUCCUCCUGGCUUACAGAUGGCCUCCUUGUUGAUGUAUCCUCACAAGGCCUUUCUUCUGUGAGUAGAUGGAGAAAGAUCUCUUCCUCUUCUUGUGAGGACACCAGUUAUCAAGGUCAUGAUUAUGAUCUUGGUUUACUUUAUCCCAUUAAGGUGUUUUUUUGUUUGUUUGUUUGUUUGUUUGUUUUUUUAAGGGAGGUGGAGGAGCAGAGGGAGAGGGAGAGCGAGAAUGCUAAGCAGGCUCCAUGCCCAGCACAGAGCCUGACAUGGGGCUUGAUCCCAGGACCCUGAGAUCAUGACGUGAGCUGAAAUCAAGCAUCAGACACUCAAAUGACUGAGCUACCAGGUACCCCAUUAACUUUAUCCCUUAAUGCAGUCUCACCUGGGGUAGGGCUCCAACAUAGAAAUAUUUGGAGGACAUAAUUCAGUUUAUAACACUGUGUGAAAAGAAGAAAGCAUUUGACAGUAUACAACACACCUUCUUGAUGGAAAACACUCGAUAAACUAGAAGUAGAAGGAAACUUAGGCCCAUAAUGAGUAUUUACAAAAUACUUGCAGCUAGCAUCAUGUUUGAAGGUGAAAGACUGGAAACCUUCCUCCGGAUCAGGAACAAGACAAGGGUGUAUACUCUUGCCACUUCUAUUUAACAUUAUUCUGGAGGUUUUAUGCAGACCAAUUAGGCAAGAAAAUAAAAAGUAGCCAGAUCAGAAAAGAAGAAGUAACUAUACCUAUUUAUAGAUGAAAUGAUUUGUAUAUAGAAAAUCCUAAAAUCAGAACUAAUCCCAAUAAAAUCAGAACUAAUAAAUGAGUUCAGCAUGGUUUCAGGAUUCAAGAUCAAGGUACAAAAAUCAAUUUUAUAACUAUGCACUAUUAAUAAAUAACCCAAACAUGAUAAUAUAGUGGGCUGGAUUGUGUAUCCCCUGCCAAAAUUGAUUUUUGACAAAAGUGCCAAGAUAAUUUGGUAUUGAAAGUACAAUCUCUUCAACAGAUGUGUCACUGGGUCACUGGAUACCCACAUGCAAAUGAAUAAUUUGGAUUCCUACAUGACACCAUAUAAAAAGUAAGUCAAAAUGUAACAAACACUUAGAAGAAAACAUAGCCCUAAUCUUUUUGAGCUUGGAUUAGGUAGGCAAUGGUUUCUUAGCUAUGACACUGAAACACAAGUGGCAAAAGAAAAAACUAGAUAAAUUGAGCUUGAUAAAAAAAAAAAAAA